GGCGGCGAUCAGUGAAGACGCGGGUCAUGGUUGGUUGUCGCGCAGACUGUAAAUCUGCCGGCUCAGCCUUCCCAGGUUCGAAUCCUGGCGCCGCCA
Molecule: transfer RNA, 96 nt
Filed under: Streptomyces olivaceus
Lineage: Bacteria; Bacillati; Actinomycetota; Actinomycetes; Kitasatosporales; Streptomycetaceae
Description: tRNA-Tyr
Source: RNAcentral